RNAcentral lists this ribosomal RNA (448 nucleotides) under uncultured bacterium. RNAcentral's name for it is "partial 16S ribosomal RNA". It matches the Rfam family "Bacterial small subunit ribosomal RNA", at positions 330 to 795 of the family's 1533-position model. The record is from RNAcentral.
UCCAGACUCCUACGGGAGGCAGCAGUGGGGAAUAUUGCACAAUGGGGGGAACCCUGAUGCAGCGACGCCGCGUGGGUGAAGGAGCACCUCGGUGCGUAAAGCCCUAUCGGCAGGGAAGAAACAGACGGUACCUGACUAAGAAGCCCCGGCUAACUACGUGCCAGCAGCCGCGGUAAUACGUAGGGGGCAAGCGUUAUCCGGAUUCACUGGGUGUAAAGGGAGCGUAGACGGCGACGCAAGUCUGGAGUGAAAGCCCGGGGCCCAACCCCGGGACUGCUCUGGAAACUGCGGCGCUGGAGUACGGGAGGGGCAGGCGGAAUUCCUGGUGUAGCGGUGAAAUGCGUAGAUAUCAGGAGGAACACCGGUGGCGAAGGCGGCCUGCUGGACGGAAACUGACGCUGAGGCACGAAAGCGUGGGGAGCGAACAGGAUUAGAUACCCCGGUAACA